This 108-nucleotide ribosomal RNA is filed under the name uncultured Gammaproteobacteria bacterium. Its description in RNAcentral is "partial 16S ribosomal RNA". The record is from RNAcentral. Lineage: Bacteria; Pseudomonadati; Pseudomonadota; Gammaproteobacteria.
UGCCGCGUGUGUGAGAAGGCCUUCGGGUUGUAAAGCUCUUUCUUUUGUGAGGAAAAGUUAGUAGUUAAUACCUGCUAGCCGUGACGUUAACAACAGAAGAAGCACCGG